UGAUGUGAAACACUCAGAUUUUACCUCAUAUCAACAACUCAUAAAAUCCCUCUGAUUUUCCACUUUCCUCUCUAUUAUUUGCAAAAAUGGAUCCAAAAAUCUCUCAGAUUUCCAGCCUUUCUCUUACAUUUCUAUGUUAUUAUCAAAUGUCAAUUAAAAAUCCUUUCAUGUUUGGGGCUGUUCCCCAUGUUUCUAAAUCCCAGCAACUUCUCCUUCCUUGGAGGGAACCUGUUGCCCUGAGUCAUUCUCCAUUUUGGCGGUUGCAGGGGGUUAAAUUUCCCAGUGAUCAUAUUUCCCCUCUUCUUUGAGAAUCAUUUCUUCCCCCUUUAGCGCUGUUAAAAUGUUUGCUGAUUAAAGCGAUCAGCCACAUAUUUAAUACACAUCAAAGCCAGAGGCCUCCCCCUGUUUGGGGAUCAGUGGUUCCCAGCUGGUAACAGGAGAGUUGGCUGGACCCUUUUCUUUUCUCCAGCCGGCACGGAUGAGGAGGUCACUCUGAGUAUAGCAUGGGUCCAGAAGUAUCCCAAGCCCCAUGACAAAUGGUCUCUGUGAAGGGUUGAUUCCCGCAGUGCUAAGAUGUAGCCACCUCUGGGGUGGAUCCAUGGUGGCCAUUAUUUGCUAGUGACAGGGCAUAGAAAUUUCUUACCUAUUUUGGCCCUCCAGGCCUUCCAUUCUCCUGUUCAAGAAGCAUCCCCCAGGGCUCCCUCUGCCUGUGUGACUGGCCAGCAGGGGGUGGUGAUAACUUUCUAUCCACUUCUCAGACACUGUGAGGCUGCAGAAUGACGUCCAUGUUUCACUCCAGUUCAUCCCGUCCUCUCAUUGGACAGGGGAGAGAAAUGGCUGCAGAGGAGCCAGUCCAGGGGCCGGUGGCCUUCGAGGAGGUGGCUGUGUAUUUCACCA
Trachemys scripta elegans is the source of this 897-nucleotide long non-coding RNA. RefSeq lists it as uncharacterized. NCBI's taxonomy places the organism in Eukaryota, Metazoa, Chordata, Testudines, Emydidae. The record is from RefSeq and is a predicted model, not a curated record. The transcript is spliced from 3 exons.